UGAGGAAUAUUGGACAAUGGGCGAAAGCCUGAUCCAGCCAUGCCGCGUGCAGGAAGACGGUCUUAUGGAUUGUAAACUGCUUUUAAACAGGAAGAACACCUUCUACGAGUAGAAGACUGACGGUACUGUAAGAAUAAGGAUCGGCUAACUCCGUGCCAGCAGCCGCGGUAAUACGGAGGAUCCAAGCGUUAUCCGGAAUCAUUGGGUUUAAAGGGUUCGUAGGCUGUAUUAUAAGUCAUUGGUGAAAUAUCUGGGCUCAACCGAGAGAUUGCCUAUGAUACUGUAAUACUUGAAUAGCUAGGAAGUAAUUAGAAUAUGUAGUGUAGCGGUGAAAUGCAUAGAUAUUACAUGGAAUACCGAUUGCGAAGGCAGGUUACUACUAGAAAAUUGACGCUGAUGGACGAAAGCGUGGGUAGCGAACAG
RNAcentral lists this ribosomal RNA (423 nucleotides) under uncultured bacterium. Its description in RNAcentral is "bacterial SSU rRNA". It matches the Rfam family "Bacterial small subunit ribosomal RNA", at positions 355 to 775 of the family's 1533-position model. The record is from RNAcentral.